CCUUCGGGGUACACGAGCGGCGAACGGGUGAGUAACACGUGGGUAACCUGCCCUGUACUCUGGGAUAAGCCUUGGAAACGAGGUCUAAUACCGGAUACGACCACUGAAUGCAUGUUCGGUGGUGGAAAGUUCCGGCGGUAUGGGAUGGACCCGCGGCCUAUCAGCUUGUUGGUGGGGUAAUGGCCUACCAAGGCGACGACGGGUAGCCGGCCUGAGAGGGUGACCGGCCACACUGGGACUGAGACACGGCCCAGACUCCUACGGGAGGCAGCAGUGGGGAAUAUUGCACAAUGGGCGAAAGCCUGAUGCAGCGACGCCGCGUGAGGGAUGACGGCCUUCGGGUUGUAAACCUCUUUCAGCAGGGACGAAGCGCAAGUGACGGUACCUGCAGAAGAAGCACCGGCUAACUACGUGCCAGCAGCCGCGGUAAUACGUAGGGUGCGAGCGUUGUCCGGAAAUUAUUGGGCGUAAAGAGCUCGUAGGCGGUUUGUCGCGUCGGCCGUGAAAACUUGGGGCUUAACUCCAAGCUUGCGGUCGAUACGGGCAGACUUGAGUUCGGCAGGGGAGACUGGAAUUCCUGGUGUAGCGGUGAAAUGCGCAGAUAUCAGGAGGAACACCGGUGGCGAAGGCGGGUCUCUGGGCCGAUACUGACGCUGAGGAGCGAAAGCGUGGGGAGCGAACAGGAUUAGAUACCCUGGUAGUCCACGCCGUAAACGGUGGGUGCUAGGUGUGGGGGGCUUCCACGCCCUCUGUGCCGCAGCUAACGCAUUAAGCACCCCGCCUGGGGAGUACGGCCGCAAGGCUAAAACUCAAAGGAAUUGACGGGGGGCCCGCACAAGCGGCGGAGCAUGUGGAUUAAUUCGAUGCAACGCGAAGAACCUUACCUGGGCUUGACAUGCACUGGAAAACCAGUAGAGAUAUUGGCCCCCUUGUGGCCGGUGUACAGGUGGUGCAUGGCCUGUCGUCAGCUCGUGUCGUGAGAUGUUGGGUUAAGUCCCGCAACGAGCGCAACCCUCGUUCCAUGUUGCCAGCACGUAAUGGUGGGGACUCAUGGGAGACUGCCGGGGUCAACUCGGAGGAAGGUGGGGAUGACGUCAAGUCAUCAUGCCCCUUAUGUCCAGGGCUUCACACAUGCUACAAUGGCCGGUACAAAGGGCUGCUAAGCCGUGAGGUGGAGCGAAUCCCAUAAAGCCGGUCUCAGUUCGGAUCGGGGUCUGCAACUCGACCCCGUGAAGUCGGAGUCGCUAGUAAUCGCAGAUCAGCAACGCUGCGGUGAAUACGUUCCCGGGCCUUGUACACACCGCCCGUCACGUCACGAAAGUCGGUAACACCCGAAGCCCGUGGCUCAACCUCGCAAGGGGGAGAGCGGUCGAAGGUGGGACUGGCG
This 1387-nucleotide ribosomal RNA is filed under the name Lentzea waywayandensis. RNAcentral describes it as "bacterial SSU rRNA". It matches the Rfam family "Bacterial small subunit ribosomal RNA". Lineage: Bacteria; Bacillati; Actinomycetota; Actinomycetes; Pseudonocardiales; Pseudonocardiaceae. The record is from RNAcentral.